GAGAGAUCGAUGUCUUAUUGUGAUGAGUCUCGACUGUCAUAUCUUCUUCGGAGGAUCACCCGGGAAAACGACCGAGACCGAAGAUUGGCUACUGUAAAGCAGUUGAAAGAAUUUAUUCAGCAACCAGAAAAUAAGCUGGUACUAGUUAAACAAUUGGAUAUCUUGGCUGCUGUACAUGAUGUGCUUAAUGAAAGUAGCAAAUUGCUUCAGGAGUUGAGACAGGAGGGAGCUUGCUGUCUCGGCCUUCUUUGUGCUUCUCUGAGCUAUGAGGCUGAGAAGAUCUUCAAGUGGAUUUUUAGCAAAUUUAGCUCAUCUGCAAAAGAUGAAGUUAAACUCCUCUACUUAUGUGCCACCUACAAAGCACUAGAGACUGUAGGAGAAAAGAAAGCCUUUUCAUCUGUAAUGCAGCUUGUAAUGACCAGCCUGCAGUCAAUUCUUGAAAAUGUGGAUACACCAGAAUUGCUUUGCAAAUGUGUUAAGUGCAUUCUUUUGGUGGCUCGAUGUUACCCUCAUAUUUUCAGCACUAAUUUUAGGGAUACAGUUGGUAUAUUAGUUGGAUGGCAUAGAGAUCAUACUCAGAAACCUUCGCUCACGCAGCAGGUAUCUGGGUGGUUGCAGAGUUUGGAGCCAUUUUGGGUAGCUGAUCUUGCAUUUUCUACGCCUCUACUUGGUCAGUUUCUAGAAGACAUGGAAGCAUAUGCUGAGGACCUCAGCCAUGUGGCCUCUGGGGAAUCAGUGGAUGAAGACGUCCCUCCUCCAUCAGUGUCAUUACCAAAGCUGGCUGCGCUUCUCCGGGUAUUUAGUACUGUGGUGAGGAGCACUGGGGAAAGCCUCAGCCCAAUUCGGGCCCUCCAAUUACUGAGGCAUA
Molecule: long non-coding RNA, 868 nt
Filed under: Homo sapiens (human)
Lineage: Eukaryota; Metazoa; Chordata; Mammalia; Primates; Hominidae
Description: novel transcript
Source: RNAcentral